RNAcentral lists this ribosomal RNA (253 nucleotides) under uncultured bacterium. RNAcentral describes it as "partial 16S ribosomal RNA". It matches the Rfam family "Bacterial small subunit ribosomal RNA", at positions 524 to 776 of the family's 1533-position model. The record is from RNAcentral.
UACAGAGGUCUCGAGCGUUGUUCGGAUUCAUUGGGCGUAAAGGGUGCGUAGGCGGCGUGGCAAGUCUGAUGUGAAAUCCCGGGGCUCAACCCCGGAACUGCAUUGGAUACUGCCAUGCUAGAGUACUGGAGAGGAGAUUGGAAUUUACGGUGUAGCAGUGAAAUGCGUAGAUAUCAGGAGGAACACCAAUGGCGAAGGCAGCUCACUGGGACGGUACUGACGCUGAGACGCGAAAGCGUGGGGAGCAAACAGG